CGAGUCAAGCUCAUGCGUGCUGCAGCAUGUGCCUCUUGAGUGCCAAGACCCUAUCUGUGAUCUGAACUGUGUUUUCAACUUCAUUUCCAGUGGCGAGGCACUGUUGAUCCUGUACCAUGGAGUACUGCCUUCACACCUCCUCUGAAAAUCUCUCCAAGCUGGUGAGCUGGGCCCACAGCCACGGGACCAUCUGCAACCUCAUCCCCAACCUCAAGCACCUGCUCUCUGUGGGGAACCAUGACAACCUGAUAGCCAUGUGGAGCUGUAGUGCUGGCCAUGCCUACCACUGGCCCUUGGCUGCCACUUGCCGGGCCGGCUCCCAGGAGGUCAUCUGCUUCCAGGACAGCCGCAGCUUCACCUCUGACAGCUCCAGCAUAAUGGGGGUGUCGUCAGAGACACAGACCACCUCCCUUGAGCGCUACCCAAGCCGGCUGGAGAAGACCAAACUGGAAUAUACCUGCAUUCGUGAGUCCUGUGACUUCUCAUUCAGUGAGCCAUCAGAGAUGGAUGAGCCUGGAGAGGAGUGUGAGGAUGAGUCCACUAUCUUUGACAUGGUCUGCGAGUCCUCUGUCACCGAUGAGGACAGCGACUUUGAGCUGCAUCCCCAGCAGGCUCCCACCGGUCCCUGCAAGCGGCUGGCCAGCAGUGUGCACACCAGAGGCCAGGCCCAGACUACUGACGAGAGUGAUAGUGAGACAACCACCAAAAAGAUCAAGAAAGAGCUCCCCGAAGACUACUACAUAGUGGCCAAUGCUGAGCUGACAGCUGGUGCCCAUGGGCCAGCCCUGGCUCUGAUACAGAUGCCCACAUCCAAGCCUCGGGCCCAGGCUGGGCCUUCCUGCCCAAGCACCUCUAAGACCCUGCCCCAGCCUGCUGUGCGCCCCAACCCUGACCCACAGCACCGCUCUACCUCCCCCAUCAGCUUGUCCCAGCUGACAAGAGAAAUUCUGUCCGGGGGGCCCCUGGCCUCCCUGGCACAGUGUAUGGAUGGUACCCCUGUGACUGCCCGGCAGGUGUCAGCUAACAGCUCCAACACUAUUGAUGCCAGGAAAGCUAUCAGCAUCCCCCUUUCAGCCCUGCAGCUGCCUGGUCAGGAGGAGCCACCGGCCACUGAGAACAACCUCCCACCUGCCCCACAGCCGCUCCUGGGCAGCGAGGCGGACAGCUCACCCUCGGUGAGCACUGAGCCUGAGGUCAGCUCCAGUCAGCAGCAGCCCCAUGCUGCCUCCACCACCACCACCGAGCCAGUGGUGCAGUCAAUGCCAGACCAGGAUGAGAGAGCAGCGGAGCUCAGCAGGGAGCAGAAUGAGAAGACCAUUCGCAGCACACAGACAGCUCUCCGCAAUUUCCGAGAGUUUCUCAUCUCCAAGUACCCCUCUGAGACCCGGGAGAUCUACGUCAUCCCCUGUAAAGAGCUUGAUGCCUACCUUGCUUCCUUCUUUGUGGAUGCCAGACAGAAGGAUGGGUCUGAAUACGAGCCAAACAGUCUGGCCAACUAUCAGUGUGGGCUGGAGCGGUAUCUCAAAGAGCACAGGUAUGGAUACAGUAUUACGAGGGAUAAGGAGUUCAAGAGGUCGCAGGAAGCAUUAAAGCAAAAGCAGAUAGAGCUGAGGUGUAAAGGAAAAGGAAACAAGCCACACAAAUCCAUGAAGCUCACCUUUGCUGAUGAGCUUAUCCUGCGCAAAAGAGGCUUGUUGAGCCGAUACAAUCCUGAAGGGCUUCUGAAUCUUGUCUGGCUAAACAACACUAAGGCAUUUGGACACUGCACGGGUUUCCAUGGGUCCACCCUCAAGUGGGGAGACAUCAGACUGCGAGUGACAGAAACUGGGUUGGAGUACCUGGAGUGGAUGGGGCCAGACAACGGAGAUGUCAAUGCCAAGAGCAAGAGAGGCGGAACAGACUCCCGGGUGUACGCCACCCAGCACUCCCCACAGACCUGCCCUGUGCAAGACUAUAAGGAGUAUGCCCAGAGGCGGCCUCCAGCCAUGCGCUAUGAGGAUGCGCCUUUUUACCUGUCCAUCAAACCUGUCGUCAACUUGGCCGCACUUCACUGGUAUAAUUGCCAAGCCCUGGGGAAAAACAAGCUUGCCAAGAUGGUAAAGACGAUGUGCGAGAAAGGCAACAUCCCCGGACGGAAGACCAACUUCAGCGUCUACCAGAGCUGUAGCACCCUCUCAGAAGCGCAGAGCAACCAGCUGGUGCUGAUUUGCAAUAACUUGAGCCAGCAGGCUGCCCAGUCCAUGGCAAGCCACUCCAAUACUGGCAACUUCAUAGUGUCAGCAUCCUAUGACUCCUCCUCUGACACGGCUUGAAAGAGGGAUAUCACAUGAACACUUUUUUCUUUUCCUUUUUGUUUCAAGUGUUGAAUUUGUGCCCAAUAAUACACAUCAACUGUGAUUGUACACUAUUCCCCCAUAGCCCUUUCUCCAGUGUUAAUUCACUUUAUAAAAAUAUAUAAAUAUAUAAUAUAUUUUUCUUUUUACAAAUAAGUCAAUAGAAAUAGUUUAGUAUUACUAACAUAGUAUUUAUAGUGUUAAUACAAAAACAUAAUGUACUUAUGGAUUAUAAUAUAAAUGCAGAUUUUAAAAGGACAAAAACGGUUCUCAGGCAACACAAGAUAGACUGGAAAUACCAUUUUGAACAUGCACACAUCAGUGAGUUUAAAUCCCCAGGGAGGCUUACAUAGCAAUUCUAUUUUAAAUCAUUUUUCAACUUAUUUUAACAUGACCUCCCAGAGUGGAGGAGACAAACUUACCACUGGCUGCUGCUUCUUAUCUGCUGGCUUAUUCUUGAUCAGCAAGACCAAGAAAUAAGAGAUACAUCAAUGUAAGUUCAUGAAACCAUUUAACACAUUUUUUUGUCUGGUUUUUUUGUUUCCUGAGGCUCAUUUAUGCUAGAUGGGAAAAAAAAUCCUGAAGUCAGCUGAAGACUGUUUUUAACUUUUGUUUUUGAUGAUGAUUUUCUGUGAUCAAAAUGUUGCUAGUCUUUAGACUAAAAAGUAUUGUUUUCAACAACAUGCAAAACUCUUAAUGGCAAAACCACUGUCAGACACAUAAUUUUAACUGUUUGAGCAUGGGUUUUUAGUAUUUUGUCACUGUGUAUACUUAAUGUAAAAUCUACUGACUUAGAGCCACUCUUUCAGUAUUAUGAGGAAUGCAAUAGUGCAGAAAAACCACAGUCUUACCACAAACUGUACAGAAAAAAAUAACUUCAAAUAUGUCUUAAGCCAUCAUUUGAAAUCUGCAGAAAGAACAUAGAGAGUGUAAUGAUAAUUUCAUAUUUACUACAAAAAAUUUAAAAGUUGGAUAGUUUUAAGUGCUGGAAAACAAAUUUAAGUCAGCUACACAUAAUCUAUUUCCAUUGCAGACGAUGGAAGAUGUGUAUGUGAAUCUGAAGGCAGAAUUUGGUCCUUAAAGCCUUGAGAUAAUCAAUGCUACUGUUCCAAUAUUUGGCCUUGCAAUAUAGUUGUUCUUCUGCUCUAAGUAUGAGGAAAACACUAAAAAAUUCAGUAUUCCAGUGAAUUAUUAUAAUUCUUGACCUUUAAAAUUAUGUACAGUACUUCUCCAAUAAUUCAGCUUAGUCUGUGUUCCAGUAGGAUAUCCUAAGGCUGUGAUGAGGCUUUAGACAAGUCUGCUGGGGUGAUCUAAUGCCCGCUGAAGUCAGUGGAAGAGUCAACCUCAGCUGACUUCCAAUGGGUGUUGGAUCAAACUGUUACUGAGGGUGUUCUUUGCUUUGGUGUUUUUAAUUGUUGGUUUUCUUUUUUCCCUUCCCAUUCCUGCAUAUCCUUAAUAUUCUUUAGAUCUGCAACUGUGCAGUGACUUUAAUCAUCACUAAUUCCAAAGAAAGUGUGAAACAAAGGUAGCAGACAGAAAAAAAUAAAGGCACAAAGCCUGCACCUCACUUAAGCCUUACUGAAGGUCUGUUUGGGAGGUGGGGUAGGUAGCAGAUGUGCCACUGAAAGGUCUAAGAGAAGAGAUUCCACUAUAAUAAAUACCUGUCUUCCCACAAAACUUCCUGCAGGUGACACAGGCUGGCUCUGAUCUCUUUGUGCUCUGCACAUAGCAAGGCUGGUACAAAGUAUGGGUUUCCUGAGUGCCGAUGGUCCCAGGGUCUUGCAUGCCAUGACAGUCUAGCCACCAAAUCUUCAGCCUCUGAGUUACAGGCCGCUGUCUCUCAAGGCUGUAGGGUAGGCAGUGGAUUGAUGGGCCCAGGCGGUCAUUCAUUCUGCAGAGCUAUGCUUUUGUGACUUGAUUCUGGGGAUUGAGACCAAAUCAUGACACUACUGAAGUGAGUGCAAGCUGUGCCCAUGACUUUCAGUACAAUGGCAAAUCGGACUUGUAGGUAAAGGAGAAAGAAGCACAAAAAGGCUCGGGCUGCCCAGCUUCCAAAUGAGGCUAGCCAUCUGAUUGUUGUUUGCACAGCCUUGCCUUUUCAUGGCAGUUCUUUUAAUGUGAUAGACUUAGAUUUUCAAGGUCAGUGCUGCUCUCUGUGGGAUUUCUUUGCUGUUUCUCACUAAAGAUUCACACAGCUGUUCCUAGUAUGUGCUGGAGUGCGGGGGGUACCAUGCCAAGGAGCUCCCUAUGGGUGCCAGGUGGGAGCUCAACCAUGGAGCCAGCCUCUAAGUAAAGUCUCUGGUUUCUGUUUCUCUCCUAUUGGCACUCAUCUCAGCACUUCCCAGUGGCAGCUAUUGCAGGAUCUGACGUAGUUCCCCACUUUACCUUUCCUGUGCUGCAACACAAAGCUUGGUCUUUUUGGGGCAGCAGAUCUCUGCUUCCCACCUCUCCUCCCCUGCCCAAUCACCCUUCUUUGCUGGGAAGAGCUGCCUUGAGCUUGUAGGGGAAAGAAGCCACCCCAAGGUGCAGCUGUCUUGUGUCUACCCUCAAGCCCUACAAGGCUGGAAACCAGACCUUAUAGCCAAAUUGCUUCUCACACUAUUAUCAGGCUCAGAACUUGGUAAUGGUUCACAUCUGCAGGUAUGCCUUAAGCGUGUUGCUUCAGAGUGGGCUAUUUUGUGUGAGUUAUUUAGUAUGGUAAUUCCACAGUUGUUCUUGUCUAUGAGGAGCUGCCGAUAUGCUGUGCUGCAAGCAGGUCUUUGAAGUGCUGCUUCACAUCAGUGCUGUAAUUCAGCCCUAGCACAGACCUUGGCUCUGUUGUGAGAUGCCAAAAAUGCUCAGUGACCCAGAAGAAAGAUGGGCACUCUUGGGUUUUCAGCUGGGAGGUCAUAAAAAGCAUUUCCCAUGACUUUUUGACUCUGCAUACUGUCUGAGUCAUUUACCACAGUAUUAGGAUGGUUUGUGCUAGCGUCCAGCCCAUGUGCUGGGUGAGGCAACAUUUCUGAUACCCUUGGCUCAGCAGGUCACAUCAGCAACUUCUGCCUGUUUGGUUGGGGGAUAAGCUGUGGAGUACGAUAGCCUCAAUAUUAUAGGGCCAGUUUUGUUCUGCUUUGCAACAUCUCUAGUAACUCCAGCUUCCAGCUGGUGCAGAUUGCCUGGCAAAUUCUGAUGGGGCUGCCCCAAACAGGGGGCAGUUAAACACAUAGGGCCAGUAUAUGAUACCCAAGUAGUAUCAUAUUUAAAAAAAAAAAAAAAAAUCAUUAGCUUUGAAGGGCAUUUUGCACAACAUAUUAUCCAGUCUUCAUAGGUGGAAAAUUGCAAGGAAUCAGGUGACCACAGCUUAAUGAAUUCUUUGUAUUAAGGCCUUGGGAGGAUUGUUAACUGACUAGGAGGGAGACUUCUGAUUUAAACCACUCUCGUGUUUUUGUCUCAUGCUGGUGGGAGAGUAGAUGUCCCAGUUGCUGCAGCUCAGCUGACAGUUGGCAACCCAGUUGCUUGUAACUGUCUCACAGUACUCUGAAGGCGUCAAACCUGCUCCACCAGCAAGUUGCAAGCUCACAACAUCAGUGUGCAGCUUUCCUGAUGCUAAGACAUGGCAGUGUGGCCAGGGGCUAGUGCUGCCAACUGCUACAAGCCUUCCUCACUGCCUAAGCAAAGGAUUGGGGUCUCCUACCAUGGCUCUUGAUACUGAGUACCUUUUACCAUGAAAUAAAAGGGUAGCUGGCAAAACACCGUACUGCUCCCAUCGAGCACAGUCUGUAAGCUGGUGAUUGGGUGGGCUGGCUUACAGUGCAGGUGACUGGCUGUCAUCCUGUGCUUCAGUGUAAAAGCUGAGCUUUUGCCCCACACAGUAAGGCUGUGGUUUCCAUAAGAUGGAGGUAGCUGGCUCCAAAAUGGGACUCUCUCCUUUCUUUCUCCCUUUUUUCCUGCCACUCACCUUUCUUUGGUCUGGUGUUAAAACCCCUUCAGUGAGUCAUUUCAACUCACUAGCCCAGCAAAAAAUGCAACAGAAAAAGGGGAAGUCAGAUUAUUUUGUGCCAGAUUUCAGAGUUGAAUCUGCUCACAAAUUGAGGUGCAGAGCACGUGGGGGAGAUGGAGGUGUGUGUUCCCCUGCCAGUAUCACAGAGUCACUAGCCUGGCUCAGCUACUGCAGCCUUGGAAACCCGGCAAAAAGCUAAUCAGAUUGAGAUCCAUCUGAAUCAUUUGCAGAUGUACUGAUUGCCUUCAGAACCAUUUACCAGCUUUUGGGAGGUUUGGGAGCUACCAAGAGCAAAGUUUGGCCUUGGCUUUAAGAAAGAGGCAGAGUGCCAAAGCACAGACCUGCACACAGUGUGAAGGAGUCUGCACCAAUGUUAGCGCAGCCUUUCCCACGUGGCCUUCUCAUGACACCAAACCAAGAGUCAGACAUGGGGAUUAUACAUGGAUGUCACUGGACUGAUCUGGAUGCAGCUGUGCACAAUACAUGCACUUGGAUCUGUUCACGUGAUUGCACAUUUAGCUGGACAGAGCUGUGGGCACUUGGAUGGCUUAAGCUCUGUUUUAUUAGUCACUCAUGCAUGUAUUUAUGAUAUUGUGGGUUUGCACAAUGUACAUGUAUUCAUGCAGGUAGUUGGAACUGAAGUCUUUGAAAUUUGGGCGCUGCAAACUGCCUGUUUAAUUUUCAAAUAUGUAUUUAUGCAACAAAAUGUAUUUUUUAGUACAGGAGAAUGAAAUACUGUUGUGGACUACAUUGUAGACUAAAUUACAAGGGAUAUCUAAAAUAACAGCACAUAACUUUUUCAUUUGCAUAGUGCAAUAAUUCUAUGAUAGCAGCAUCCAGGCUAUUGACAUAUAGGACAAUCUAAUAAUGGAAUCAGUGUCCCUGUUGCACAUUCUCCUUUGUGAAGAAUAUCAACACUUUCAAGCUGUUUUGUGUUUUUCUGUUUAGAAGCUGCUGUGCACUGGUAUUCAGUCUACAGCGUAGUUGCCCUCUUAGAAAGCAACAUUGUUAUACUGCUGUGCAUGCUCGUCUCAGAUGUUUGUGACCAGAUCUUGUUCUUGCGCAAGCAAUGUGCGGUGGGAAGAAGGGGAUCAGGAAGAGCAGGUGGUGUGCCACUCUAGAACCUGGGCUGCCCUAAGGACUGAAACAGCCUUAAAGGAAACUGAGAUUCCUAUUGCACUAGGUUUCCUCCCUGUCCAGCUUCUAUUUACCCUUUCUUGUCACCGUGUCUGAGUACAUCCCAUAAGUGCAUUGACUGACCCGACUAGCACAUGUGGUGCAUGGGCUGUUCAUUCCUUCUGACAAUAAGCUGCAAAUGACUGUGAUUGACUGACUGGUCCUCCCCAUCCCCGACAUCCUUGCAUCUGCACCAUGGGGCAAGGGGACCACUUUGUGCAGGGUGGCUCUUGGCUGAGAGCUCCCUCCUGCCUUUCAAGUGACCUUCUGCUUUGGGGAUAAUGCGCUCAGGGCGGACCGCCUCGCGUCAGGUACGCGAGGUUUGUGGGAUACUGCACAUGAGCACUCUGGAGGCUCGCAUCUCUUGUGCUGGAAGCACUCUCCCUCUCUCUUCUCUUCUGCUUUUUGUGAGAGCGCUUUCAAUUCAUUAAAUGAGAUGAAAUUCACUCCUGUGUAGAGGACCAGGCCCACGUCUGUGUGCUGCUUGGCCUUCCACCAACUCCCUUAAAAUAGGAUUGAGAUGACUGGUCCUCAACAGUACGUAACUUUUGGGCUCACUGCAUCAUGGAAAUCAGAUCAUCACAUGGUGAGGCAACAGAGCAUGGGGACCCCUCUGACUCCCUGAACUCCCAGAGGCAGUGUGAAUGUGUGGGAAGAAGGAGAGCUUACAGGACACAGAAAUGCAAUUUGAUUUGCCUGAAAUGAGCCAAUUCAUGCUUCUGGGUUAGGGUAAAGAAGGACUCAGCUGUUCACUAUGAAAUGUGACUGGUAGUGGAUCUGCACUUCUUAAUGAGGGUUCUUUGCUAAACGUCGGUGUGAGGAGAUGGCUGCUUUGCUGUCCUUGUGCUUAAGAGAAAGGAUGUAUAUUAUUUUCUUUCUGUGCUUUCAUGUGUCUGCGCUGAAUCUGCCUCUCAGUGCUGAGAAGGAGUGUGGAGAGAAGGCAGUCCAGCUUAAAUAUGGCUAUAUUCCUAGUCAAAAAGCUUGAACUAUGCUCUCUGGUGAUGGUUCCCAUGUGCUGAGCCAUGCCUUCCUUGGUGGUUGGGGACAGUACUGCAUCAGCUGGUGUCUCCCAGGACAUCUGUUGGCUCUGUGCAGAGCCAGCAUGGGUGUCGAUGCACCACUCCAAAAACUGAGAGCCUGGGGGUAGCUUGUCAAGAACACCCCUAUCAGCCAGGUGUCUGCAAACCAAGAAGGGGGAAGGCCCUAAGCACAACUAAAUGAUGAUGCUUUCCCCAUGGACAGCAUAUGAGAGACACAUGAGGCUGGGCUGAUACCUCCUCAAGGGUUUUGGAAACCUAAGGGACCUCACCAGGGACAUCACUGCUUCACCGCUUUCACAGAAGCAUAACUUCAGGCGACGAUGGAGUGACCCUUCUGAGGACAUGUCGGGUUUCUCUGAGCCCUUGGCAAGUUGUGUGGUUGCACGGCUUCCAGCUCCACUCAUGUAAACCAGGGGUCAGCCUGUUCCACCCCCCUGCACUGUCUCAGGCUGAGGCCCUGCAAAGCUCUUCUGAUGUUGUCCUCCAGCACCUCGACAUUUCCAAACAGGAAGUAGAGGGGCAUUUACAGUGGUGAAAUACUGGAAAGCUAAAAAGCCCCACAGUUUAGAGACACCUGUGAGCUUGUUGAAAAGUUUGACACUAGCCAUUCACUCAAACAUGUUUAAAGCAAUGGUGAUGGCUUUAAUUCCAAAUCAGAAAGGGGAAACAAUGGGUUUGGCAUGAAAUGUGCUUGUUACAUGAACUGAUGGGUUUUGACAUAGUCUCUAGAGUCUCUGUCUCAAGCAAGCAAUUUAUUUCCUCUGUUUUUUCACUGAAUUGGUUGUUAGAAUUUUGUCUGCAUUACCAACUAUUUGUUUUAUUAUAAAAAUGCCAUUAAAUUAGUUGUCUGUGCAUUAGAAAUGGAUUUACUGUUUCAAAGGGAUUAGGAUGCUUUUGCCUAAUCUUUUAUUGUUGUGCUCAACAUUGAUUACACAGCAUUCACUAGGAUCUGAAAAAAUCAGUACCUUUUCAGAUUUCAGUGUCAUCUUUUGUAAUUAAUAGAUGCUUUGUUUACAGUGUUUAAGAGACUGGUGAGGUAGGUGCUAUCAUUGAAAUUUCAGUGGGAUAGAGGUUCAGUGGGAAUGAGAAGAGGUGUUUAGCUCUUUCACAAUGCUUCCAGAAUCUGUGUUUGCAUUUUUUGGUUACUACUGUUUUAUACAGUCCAUAAGUGUCAAGAAAAAACAGCCAAGUGAGGGGAUGAGAAGAAAAUGCAAAAUAUUUUGUACAAAAAUAUUGUAUUAUUCCUACACUAGAAAACUAAACUCUUUAAAUUAAUUUUGCAGAUAUCUUUGACACUUCAGCUGUUAUUUUUGUGAACAAAGAUGACUCUAACUUUACUCAUGUCUAGAAUUUGAUCUGCUUUCUGAAGGCUGUAAUCUUGCCAAGACUGUUCUCCUUAUCAUUAUAGCAUGUUCUCAGCUGUCCUAAAUCACCCUGGUCUACCCCACAUUGCUCCUGCCAGAAUUCCUCCUUCUCUUCUAUCAGACAGUUAAUACACUUAGUAUAUGUCAAAUUUCCAGCCUGAAAACAAGCCAGUGCCAGAGUCCAUACUUCAGCCUCUGUAUCUGCAGCAGUGUGUGUGAAGUGUAGAUGCAGAAGGCAAGGCAAUAGUAACUGGCUUCAAAAUGAUUUGGUGACUUUUGCGUAGGAAGACAAAUCUUCUCCUAGUGACAGUGGGGCUGAAGGUGCACUGAACAAUGACUGCAGUGUAAAACGCUUUGUGGAGGCCUUUCUUUUUUGCCUGGUGCUUAUGCUUCAGAUCCUGCAAGCUUUGCCUUCUGUGGGAGCUUUCUCUGUGGGCAGCUUGCAAGACUGGGUUCCUCUGCACAAGGCUGGGCGCAUGGAUAUGAAACGAAAUACCCAGAGCAUUCAGGGAUGUGCAGACAAAAUAUGGCAUGAAAUGUCUUAAUGGAGUCUGAAUGCUGGCAGGGAAGGAAAAGCUGAGCACCUGGUUUUGCUCCCCUUUAUGGCAGUGUGUGCCAGCCGGGUGGUGCUGCUGCCACAGCAGAUUUGGUGCCCAUUCUGCAGAACACUGUGAGAAAUGUAUGUCUGUGCUGCCUGCUGCUGCCCAGCUCAGGCUGUUAGCUGUACGCACAUGUCUGGCCCCACUGGAACAAAUGGGUCUGAAGUAUGCAGGAAAAGAUAUUGCUUGGCCAUGGUUGUGUUGUCAGUGUCUGGUUUUGUCCAUGUGACCCAUCUGCCUCAGAAUCAUCUUGAGACCUAUCAGGGUAGACCAAAUAUUCAGGACUGGAAGAAAGAGAAGUGGCAGAAUAUCUAAGUGUGAUGAAGAUGGUGGAAAGGCAGUGGGAAAACCUGGCAAACACAAUGGAAGUUUUUGUCUUUUUGUCUAACGAAGGCAGCAUAAUCCUUAUCCUUUAAUAUACUACUUUGUUUUACAUUUGAAUUAGGAAAUCUUUUCUGUUUGUUUUAAUUAUAAUUAUCCACUGGCUUUAACUGCCUUUGAAAAGCAUUUUUGCUAUGACAACCCUUGGUCUCACUGUGAGCAGUACUCGGGAGAAACAGCUAAAGUAAGGCUUUUAUCUUUCCCUGCAUGCAAUGUUUAAUCUUUUUAAUCUUUUAAUGUGAAGGUGUUUUCUCCCAUUUUAUAUAUUGACAAGAUUAGCACUGUUUCUUCCAAAACAGCCACUGAAAAACAUAUUUUGCUUAAACGUAACCAAAUUUCCACCAAACAAUGUGAAUUCUCCUAAGUGACCAAUUCAUUCUCAGAGUUAAACCUGUCUCUAAGGCUAACUUACACUCACUGACUUCAGUGACAACUCAACUUUUUUAAGAACUGUUUGUAAAAAAGUAGAUUUUGUUAAUGCUUUUGUUUUGUUUUAUAAGAAAAAGAUUCACUGUCUUGCCAAAUAAUAAUUAAUAUUUCUAUGCAUUGUGUGAUUCAGUGAUGUUGCUGUUGAAAUUUUGCAUGUUUUCUAGAUGUUUUGACAUUUGUACAUUUAUGUGGUACUUGUAAAAAUGCUAACCAUUGCUGCUAUAAUCACCACCCUUGUAGGUAACUGAAAACUGCACUAUGAAGCUGUGCCAGUUAGCAGGUUUUUGUGUGUGUCAUGGUAAAACUCUGCAUUCUGCUGUUUUUUCCUGUUUUAAGCCAGUAUUUAGUGCCUUCUGUAGAAGGAAUCAAUAUGUUGUGGUAGACAGGAGGUGCCAAACUUCUAAUAUCUUGUUCUGCACAGAUGAUCACUUACCAGCUUGAAGCUUAAAAAAAAGUAAAAUAGAAAAAAACUCUUGAACUCUCCAUCUUUCUUUAAAGUGUCUUCUCUUAAUUAAUUUUCAUUUGGAAAAAAACCUUUAAUAGAGCUGAAAACAAGCCAUCUUCCCCAGCUACACCUUCUGCAGCAGCAGUCUGCCAGCUGUGAAUGUGAGGGGUAUGAGGGAAUGCACGGUACUCAAAAGUUCCUGUUGGAUCCUCUUGGAUCCACUGAUUAGCCAAGCCUGUUCAAGUCAUUGCAGAGCACGCAAAAAUACCGUUUAAUGAAAGCAAUCCUGAUUACCAUAAGAAACUGUUAGCUCUCGUAACAGUUGUGGGCCUGCUCUUGUAAACAAGUGUCAGCGUGGUCAAGUGGUGGAUUCCAGUCCCUGUUCCGCCUCCGAUGAAGACAUGCAUUGCUGCCAAAUGAGACUUGGAUGAAAUUCAAGCCCAAGAUUUUUGGUCUCGUUCUUUCCAACUGCUUUCAUGGCAGACAAGUCCUGUUUAUCGAAAUUCUGACACUGCAUUUUCAGCUCCUUUUCCACCCUCUGCUUAGAAUCUGGCAAUACAGCAAAUAGACUCAUAACGCAUUCAUUUUGAUUUUUAUAAGAUUUUGACAGUCUGGAAUCAUACCAUAGUGUAAUCAUGCAACAGAAACAGACAGGAGGGAAAUGUGAGAUGUUAAUCUGCCUAGCGCAUUUCCCAGCCACCAGGCAUGGUCAACUGCCUAGGAUGGUCUUCAAAACAGUAUUUUGUAUGGAAAAAAAGAAAAGACUAACCACCACUUUUCCAUCUCAACUGAGAGAUGAAAGCCUGUUACAUCUCUUGAAAAGACUUUUCAAAUCAGAAUACCGAUUUGCCAGAAAAACUGUGUGAUUGGGAAAAUAAGAGUGCAUUGAACUCAUUCUUAUUGGUGCUGGUCUAAAGCCAUCUCUGUUCCCCAGCAAGACAACCCUUUUGAUACAACCCUUUUGAUGUGAAAUACUUAAAAAAAAAAAAAAAAA
Athene cunicularia (burrowing owl) is the source of this 12740-nucleotide RNA transcript. It is a transcript of the gene named KIAA1958 ortholog, with no coding region annotated. The record is from RefSeq and is a predicted model, not a curated record. Lineage: Eukaryota; Metazoa; Chordata; Aves; Strigiformes; Strigidae. The transcript has 3 exons.